CCUUUCCUUAGAGAAAAAAACAAACACGCAGUCGUGAAUGUGGCAAUAGUUUAUUCCCUUAUGGUAACUCCUCAACAAGCUCCAGGUUGUGUCGCCCGCACCACAGCUCCAGCCGCUCCACUUCCUGUUGAUACACAGACACGUCACCGUCUUUGAUGAGGCCAAUGACUGUUGUGUUGUCUGCAAACUUCAGGAGUUUGACAGCCGGUUGCAUUGAGAUGCAGUCGUUCGUGUAGAGAGAGAAGAGCAGCGGAGAGAGGGCACAACCUUGGGGAACCCCGGUGCUGGUGGAAGCGUCCUUUUCAAAUCUGCAGUAGAAGGUGUUCAAGUCGUCGGCGAGUCCUUUAUUAUUCUCAGCUUGAGGGGAUGGUCGGUUGUAAUUGUUUAGCGAUAUUAAUGCAUGCCAGAUUGAUUUAGAGUCAUUAGCGGUAAAUUGUUUUUUUAACUUUACCGCCUAAUUUCUCUUCCAUCCAUCCAUUUUCUGAGCCGCUUCUCCUCACUAGGGUCGCGGGCGUGCUGGAGCCUAUCCCAGCUGUCAUCGGGCAGGAGGCGGGUUAGACCCUGAACUAGUUGCCAGCCAAUCGCAGGGCACAUAGAAACAAACAACCAUUCGCACUCACAGUCAUGCCUAUGGGCAAUUUAGAGUCUCCAAUUAAUGCAUGUUUUUGGGAUGUGGGAGGAAACCGGCGUGCCCUGAGAAAACCCACGCAGGCACGGAGAGAACAUGCAAACUCUACACAGGCGGGGCUGGGGAUUGAACCCGGGUCCUCAGAACCGUGAGGCUGACGCUCUAACCAGUCGUCCACCGUGCCGCCCUAAUUUCUCUUUGUGUUGUUAAUUUCUUUAGUCAGCUGGUUUUUAGUGCAAUUACACAGGGCUCUAUCCCCACUUCGAUACCUGUCCUCUUUAGCCUGGUAAGUUGCUUAAGUUUGGCAGUGAACCACGGCUUGUUGUUAUUGAAAUGACUUUGUUGGUACACAUACCUCUUCAUAGAAAUUGAUAUAAUGUAACAGUGUCUGUAUAUUCAUCCAGGUUUCCAGUGGAAUUUUCAAAGAGACUCCAGUCUGUGCAGUCUAAACAGCUUUGAAGUUAAUUAAUCAGUGAUCAGACGAGCCCAGAGCUGCACAAGGUAUAGCACGGUAUGCGUUAUUUAGCGUAGUAUAGCAGUGGUCUAAAAAUUUCUCUGGUAGGACAGUUGAUGUGCUGCUUGUAUUUAGGGAGUUCGUGGUUGAGUUUAGCUUUGUUAAAGUCCCAAAGAAUAAUGAGACGUGACUCUGGGUGCAUUUUUUCAAUUUCGUUCACUUGUUCAGUGAGCGUUAGCAGUGCGGUGUAUGUGUUAGCUUGAGGAGGAAUGUAAACAUCAGCAAGGAUGAAAGAUGCAAAUGCACCCAGCGAGUAGAAUGACUUACAGUUCAAAAACAGCGACUCCAAGUCCGGGCUGCAGUGUGUGCUGAGCUCCAUGAUGUUGGUACACCACUUUUCGUUCAAAUAGAAGCAUAUCCCGUCGCCGUUUGUUUUCCCCGAUAACUCCGUGACGGGGUAUGCCUCGUGAAGUUGGAAGCCCGGAAGCAUUACGGCCCCAUCGGGGACGCGUUCACCAAACCAUGUCUCCAUAAAGCACAGGGGGGUGGAACGUCUGGAGUCUGUACUGGCCUUUGUCAGAAGAUGAAGCUCGUCCAUUUUGUUGGAGCUUCACUUGGAUGCCCGUGUGCUUCCCCAUUCGUCGCCUUCGCCUUCAUACGCCGUACGCCGCGGCCGCCACACCGUUAUCUGGGCAGCCGUGGCCCAAUGGUUAAGGUCAUCGCCUGCCACCGUGGGGGACCAAGGUUCAAAACCCCGACUGGACCAUCCGCCAACAUCCCCCGGACUCACGGCUGUGGUGUCCUUGAGCAAGACACUGAUACCCCGAAAUGCUCCCCGGGCGCUUCAGCUGCCCCCUGCUCCAGUGUGUUCCACUAACAUGUGUAUGUGUUCACUGUGAUGGGUUAAAUGCAGAGAACAAAUUUCAUGUGCAUGCAUGCAUGCAUGUUCAUGACAAUAAAAGAUGAUUCUUCUUCUUCAUUUUAAGAUAGCCUACAAAUAUUUACAACAAAAAAUUUUGUAUAUUAAUAUUUAUCACCAAAUAAAAAGUGUGAAUUUGAGAACAUUCUCAUAUCUCCUUAACUUGACAAAGU
Molecule: long non-coding RNA, 2174 nt
Organism: Phyllopteryx taeniolatus (common seadragon)
Lineage: Eukaryota; Metazoa; Chordata; Actinopteri; Syngnathiformes; Syngnathidae
Exons: 3
Source: RefSeq, a predicted model, not a curated record